This 425-nucleotide ribosomal RNA is filed under the name uncultured bacterium. Its description in RNAcentral is "partial 16S ribosomal RNA". It matches the Rfam family "Bacterial small subunit ribosomal RNA", at positions 354 to 796 of the family's 1533-position model. The record is from RNAcentral.
GUAGGGAAUAUUGGUUAAUGGGCGAAAGCCUGAACCAGCAACGCCGCGUGCACGAUGACGGCCUUCGGGUUGUAAAGUUCUUUUGGCGGGGACGAUGAUGACGGUACCCGCAGAAUAAGCUCCGGCUAACUUCGUGCCAGCAGCCGCGGUAAUACGAAGGGAGCUAGCGUUGUUCGGAAUUACUGGGCGUAAAGGGCGCGUAGGCGGUCAAGCAAGUCAGAUGUGAAAGCCCUGGGCUCAACCCGGGAACUGCGUUUGAUACUGUUUGGCUUGAAUUCGGUAGAGGUGAGUGGAAUUCCCAGUGUAGAGGUGAAAUUCGUAGAGAUUGGGAAGAACACCAGUGGCGAAGGCGGCUCACUGGACCGACAUUGACGCUGAGGCGCGAAAGCGUGGGGAGCAAACAGGAUUAGAUACCCUGGUAGUCC